UCCGCAAGUAAAGCGGCAAACGGGUGAGUAACACGUAGCUAACCUACUUGUGCGACGGUAAUAACAGCUCGAAAGGGCUGCUAAUGACCGAUAUAAUCCAGAUUUCUCAAGAAGACUGGAUGAAAGUCUAUACGGCGCGCGCAAAAGGGGCUGCGGCCUAUCAGCUUGUUGGUGAGGUAACGGCUCACCAAGGCGAUGACGGGUAGGGGGCGUGAGAGCGCGACCCCCCACAUGGGGACUGAGACACGGCCCUGACUCCUACGGGAGGCAGCAGUAGGGAAUCUUCCGCAAUGGACGAAAGUCUGACGGAGCGACACCGCGUGGAGGAUGAAGGCCUUCGGGUUGUAAACUCCUUUUCCGGGGGAAGAAUAAGGCCAAUCGACUUGGUCGAUGACGGUACUCCGGGAAUAAGCCACGGCUAACUCUGUGCCAGCAGCCGCGGUAAGACAGAGGCGGCGAGCGUUGCCCGGAUUCAUUGGGCGUAAAGGGCGCCUAGGCGGUCGCGUGUGCCAUCGGUGAAAUUUCUCCGCUCAACGGGGAAGCGCCCGGUGUGACUGCGCGGCUGGAGGGCGGGAGAGGGAAGUGGAACGACUAGAGUAGCGGUGAAAUGCGCAGAUACUAGUCGGUACCUCAAUAGCGAAGGCAACUUCCUGGCCCGUUCCUGACGCUGACGCGCGAAAGCGUGGGGAGCAAACCGGAUUAGAUACCCGGGUAGUCCACGCCCUAAACGAUGUAGACUAGGUGUUGGACUCUUUAAUAGAAGUCCAGUGCCGCAGCUAACGCGUUAAGUCUACCGCCUGGGGGUGUACGGCCGCAAGGUUGAAACUCAAAGGGAAUUGACGGGGGGCCCGCACAAGCAGUGGAGCACGUGGGUUUAAUUCGACGCAACGCGAAGAACCUUACCUGGGGCUUGACAU
This 917-nucleotide ribosomal RNA is filed under the name uncultured bacterium. RNAcentral's name for it is "bacterial SSU rRNA". It matches the Rfam family "Bacterial small subunit ribosomal RNA", at positions 83 to 987 of the family's 1533-position model. The record is from RNAcentral.